AUGAACGCUGGCGGCGUGCCUCAUACAUGCAAGUCGAGCGAACAGACGAGGAGCUUGCUCCUCUGACGUUAGCGGCGGACGGGUGAGUAACACGUGGAUAACCUACCUAUAAGACUGGGAUAACUUCGGGAAACCGGAGCUAAUACCGGAUAAUAUAUUGAACCGCAUGGUUCAAUAGUAAAAGACGGUUUUGCUGUCACUUAUAGAUGGAUCCGCGCCGCAUUAGCUAGUUGGUAAGGUAACGGCUUACCAAGGCAACGAUGCGUAGCCGACCUGAGAGGGUGAUCGGCCACACUGGAACUGAGACACGGUCCAGACUCCUACGGGAGGCAGCAGUAGGGAAUCUUCCGCAAUGGGCGAAAGCCUGACGGAGCAACGCCGCGUGAGUGAUGAAGGUCUUCGGAUCGUAAAACUCUGUUAUUAGGGAAGAACAAAUGUGUAAGUAACUAUGCACGUCUUGACGGUACCUAAUCAGAAAGCCACGGCUAACUACGUG
This 496-nucleotide ribosomal RNA is filed under the name uncultured bacterium. Its description in RNAcentral is "partial 16S ribosomal RNA". It matches the Rfam family "Bacterial small subunit ribosomal RNA", at positions 29 to 507 of the family's 1533-position model. The record is from RNAcentral.